CUCUAUCUCUCCCAGAACUUACACAAAAUAUGAAUGAUUCUAAUCCGUUUCAUCAAUAUUCUCGAACUUCAAGUUACAAUACUCUUAUUCCUUGCUUAACUGAAAACUGGGGUGACUUGCCCUUAAAAGUCGACGAUUCGGAAGAUAUGCUCGUUUACAACAUCCUCCGGGAUGCCGUUUCUUCUGGAUGGUCUCCCUUUGAUUUCACCAUCUCCACCUCCACCACUCAACCAGCAACAACAACCAUUAAACCUGAGCCCAUGGAUGAUUUGGACCUUACCGCUCUGGUUCACCCUCAAGAAGCUGCAUCAACUAUAGCAUUGCUUGAGACUUCUAUUCUUGAAAAUACACCUCAAGCCAUUCGUUUAGCUAAAACCCAUAAUAAGAAGGUGUCCAGAGGAAAGCAUUACAGGGGAGUCAGGCAGCGACCUUGGGGAAAGUUCGCCGCCGAGAUACGAGAUCCGGCUAAAAAUGGCGCCAGAGUAUGGCUCCGCACCUACGAGACGGCUGAGGAAGCCGCUUUGGCUUACGAUAGAGCAGCCUUUAGGAUGCGCGGCUCAAGGGCUAUGCUCAAUUUUCCACAUAGGAUUGGCUCCAAUGAACCAGAGCCGGUCAGAAUCACUGCGAAGCGUCGUGAACCGGAGUUGGAGAUGGCUGUGUCUUCUAAGAGGAGAAAAAGGUCGGUGGCUAAUCAAGCUGAGAUGGGAAGGGAGAGAGGAUACGGCGUAGUGCACCAAAUUGGGCUGAUGCCAGUUGGCGAGCAAUUAUUGGUUAGUUAAUAUUGAGUUGGAGACAUUGACCUACACGUCGUCGUCGCGUGGUGGGAAAGGCCCGAACGAGCCUAUGAGUGUUUGAUUGUGUCGUUGUGUGACUUUUGUACAGAAUGAGUUUUUUGAGUAAUAAACUUGACCACCC
RNAcentral lists this unclassified non-coding RNA (915 nucleotides) under Hevea brasiliensis (rubber tree). The record is from RNAcentral. Lineage: Eukaryota; Viridiplantae; Streptophyta; Magnoliopsida; Malpighiales; Euphorbiaceae.